This 471-nucleotide ribosomal RNA is filed under the name uncultured bacterium. RNAcentral's name for it is "SSU rRNA". It matches the Rfam family "Bacterial small subunit ribosomal RNA", at positions 26 to 518 of the family's 1533-position model. The record is from RNAcentral.
AGGAUAAACGCUGGCGGCGUGCCUAACACAUGCAAGUCGAACGCGCUUUCGGGCUUCGGUGCGAGAGCGAGUGGCGGACGGGUGAGUAACACAUGGGUACCUACCUUGGAGUGAGGGAUACCGGCGAGAAAUCGCCGACAAUACCGCAUAGGCUUCUUCACAAGGGAAGCAAAGUGACGCGAGUCACGCUGUGAGAUGGGCCUGUGGCCGAUUAGCUAGUUGGGGGGGUAACGGCUUCCCAAGGCGACGAUCGGUAGCUGGUCUGAGAGGACGAUCAGCCACACUGGGAUUGAGAACGGCCCAGACUCCUACGGGGGGCAGCAGUGAGGAAUUUUCCGCAAUGGAGGCAACUCUGACGGAGCAACGCCGCGUGCAGGAGGAAGGUUUUCGGAUCGUAAACUGCUUUUCUCGGGGACGAGCAAGGACGGUACCCGAGGAACGAAGCCCGGCUAACUACGUGCCAGCAGCCGC